GUUGAAGGGCCGCGGUAUUUUGACCGUGCGAAGGUAGCAUAAUCAUUAGUCUUUUAAUUGAGGGCUUGUAUGAAUGGUUGGACAAAAAAUAAGCUGUCUCAGUUAUAUAAAUUGAAUUUAACUUUUAAGUGAAAAGGCUUAAAUGUUUUAGGGGGACGAUAAGACCCUAUAAAGCUUUACAAUUAUUUAAUUAAAUUAUAAAUUGUUAGUAUAAACUUGGUUUAAUUGAUGUUUGUUUCGUUGGGGCGACGAGAAUAUAAUUUUGUAACUGUUCUUUUAUGAUUUGUUACAAUGAUUUUUGGGAAAAAAUGAUCCUUUAUUAAAGAUUAAAAGAUUAAGUUACUUUAGGGAUAACAGCGUAAUCUUCUUUGAAAGUUCAUAUCGACAAGAAGGGUUGCGACCUCGAUGUUGAAUUAAGAGUUCUCCGUGGUGCAGUGGUUACGGUUAGAAGGUCUGUUCGACCUUUAAAUUCUUACUGA
Molecule: ribosomal RNA, 479 nt
Filed under: Trachysalambria malaiana
Lineage: Eukaryota; Metazoa; Arthropoda; Malacostraca; Decapoda; Penaeidae
Description: partial large subunit ribosomal RNA
Rfam family: Bacterial large subunit ribosomal RNA
Source: RNAcentral